Molecule: ribosomal RNA, 477 nt
Filed under: uncultured rumen bacterium
Lineage: Bacteria
Description: bacterial SSU rRNA
Rfam family: Bacterial small subunit ribosomal RNA
Source: RNAcentral
CACGGAAGGAGUUUUCGGACAACGGAAGGUGAGGACAGUGGCGGACGGGUGAGUAACGCGUGAGGAACCUGCCUUUCAGAGGGGGACAACAGUUGGAAACGACUGCUAAUACCGCAUAACGCAUAGGUAUCGCAUGGUACUUAUGCCAAAGAUUUAUCGCUGAAAGAUGGCCUCGCGUCUGAUUAGCUGGUUGGUGAGGUAACGGCCCACCAAGGCGACGAUCAGUAGCCGGACUGAGAGGUUGACCGGCCACAUUGGGACUGAGAUACGGCCCAGACUCCUACGGGAGGCAGCAGUGGGGAAUAUUGGGCAAUGGGCGCAAGCCUGACCCAGCAACGCCGCGUGAAGGAAGAAGGCUUUCGGGUUGUAAACUUCUUUUGGCAGGGAAGAGGAGAAGACGGUACCUGCCGAAUAAGCCACGGCUAACUACGUGCCAGCAGCCGCGGUAAUACGUAGGUGGCAAGCGUUGUCCGGAUU